RNAcentral lists this transfer RNA (62 nucleotides) under Phytoseiulus persimilis. RNAcentral's name for it is "tRNA-Ile". Lineage: Eukaryota; Metazoa; Arthropoda; Arachnida; Mesostigmata; Phytoseiidae. The record is from RNAcentral. RNAcentral also lists the same sequence under 1 other name.
AGUAAAAAACCUAAUUAAUAGGAUUAUUUUGAUAGAAUAAACAAAGCUAAAAGCUUUUACUU